RNAcentral lists this microRNA (22 nucleotides) under Oreochromis niloticus (Nile tilapia). RNAcentral describes it as "oni-miR-10830". The record is from miRBase by way of RNAcentral. Lineage: Eukaryota; Metazoa; Chordata; Actinopteri; Cichliformes; Cichlidae.
AGACCUAAAAUUUAACUCUUUU